CCUACGGGUGGCAGCAGUGGGGGAUAUUGGACAAUGGGGGGAACCCUGAUCCAGCGACGCCGCGUGAGUGAAGAAGGUACAGCGUAUCGUAAACCUCUUUUGUCAGGGAACAAAGGCGGGGACUAGUCCCCGGAUGAGGGUACCUGAAGAAAAAGCAUCGGCUAACUCCGUGCCAGCAGCCGCGGUAAUACGGAGGAUGCGAGCGUUAUCCGGAUUUAUUGGGUUUAAAGGGUGCGCAGGCGGCCUGUUAAGUCAGCGGGAAAAGCCCGGGGCUCAACCCCGGCGAGCCGUUGAAACUGGCGGGCUGGAGUUUGAGAGAGGUACGCGGAAUGCGAGGUGUAGCGGUGAAAUGCUUAGAUAUCGCGCAGAACCCCGAUUGCGAAGGCAGCGUACCGGCUCCACACUGACGCUGAGGCACGAAAGCGUGGGUAUCGAACAGGAUUAGAUACCCUUGUAGUC
Molecule: ribosomal RNA, 459 nt
Filed under: uncultured bacterium
Lineage: Bacteria
Description: partial 16S ribosomal RNA
Rfam family: Bacterial small subunit ribosomal RNA
Source: RNAcentral